RNAcentral lists this ribosomal RNA (510 nucleotides) under uncultured bacterium. Its description in RNAcentral is "partial 16S ribosomal RNA". It matches the Rfam family "Bacterial small subunit ribosomal RNA", at positions 28 to 507 of the family's 1533-position model. The record is from RNAcentral.
GACGAACGCUGGCGGCGUGCUUAACACAUGCAAGUCGAACGAAGAGCGAUGGAAGCUUGCUUCUAUCAAUCUUAGUGGCGAACGGGUGAGUAACGCGUAAUCAACCUGCCCUUCAGAGGGGGACAACAGUUGGAAACGACUGCUAAUACCGCAUACGAUCUAAUCUCGGCAUCGAGGAUAGAUGAAAGGUGGCCUCUACAUGUAAGCUAUCACUGAAGGAGGGGAUUGCGUUUGAUUAGCUAGUUGGAGGGGUAACGGCCCACCAAGGCGAUGAUCAGUAGCCGGUCUGAGAGGAUGAACGGCCACAUUGGGACUGAGACACGGCCCAGACUCCUACGGGAGGCAGCAGUGGGGAAUCUUCCGCAAUGGACGAAAGUCUGACGGAGCAACGCCGCGUGAGUGAUGACGGCCUUCGGGUUGUAAAGCUCUGUUAAUCGGGACGAAAGGCCUUCUUGCGAAUAGUGAGAAGGAUUGACGGUACCGGAAUAGAAAGCCACGGCUAACUACGUG